RNAcentral lists this ribosomal RNA (470 nucleotides) under uncultured marine eukaryote. Its description in RNAcentral is "bacterial SSU rRNA". It matches the Rfam family "Eukaryotic small subunit ribosomal RNA", at positions 616 to 1091 of the family's 1831-position model. The record is from RNAcentral.
CGGUUAAAAAGCUCGUAGUUGGAUUUCUUCCAGGGGCAGUCGGUCCACACUACGUGUGCGUAUCUGAUUUGACUUUGGAAUCCUAUUGGGAACAUCUCUGCGUUUAACUGCGUGGAAUGGUAUUCAAGACUUUUACUUUGAGGAAAUUAGAGUGUUCACGGCAGGCAAUCGCCCUGAAUACAUUAGCAUGGAAUAGUAAUAUAGGAUUUCGGUUCUAUUUUGUUGGUUUCUAGAGCUGAGAUAAUGAUUAAUAGGGACACUUGGGGGCAUUCGUAUUAUCACGUCAGAGGUGGAAUUCUUGGAUUGUGUUACGACGAACUACUGCGAAAGCAUUUGCCAAGGAUGUUUUCAUUAAUCAAGAACGAAAGUUAGGGGAUCGAAGACGAUCAGAUACCGUCGUAGUCUUAACCAUAAACUAUGCCGACUAAGGAUUGGGCGUGGUUUGUUCAUUGACCCGCUCAGCACCUUAC